GAAAUGGAUAACUGUGGUAAUUCUAGAGCUAAUACAUGUUGAAGGGGUGCAUUUAUUAGAACAAAGCCGAUCAGGUUGACUCUGAAUAACUCACAGUCCUUGAACUGGCGAUGUAUCUUUCAAAUGUCUGCCUUAUCAACUGUUGAUGGUAGAUUAUGCGCCUACCAUGGUUGUAACGGGUAACGGAGAAUCAGGGUUUGAUUCCGGAGAGGGAGCCUGAGAAACAGCUACCACAUCCAAGGAAGGCAGCAGGCACGCAAAUUACCCACUCCCAGUGGGGAGGUAGUGACGAAAAAUAACGAGACGAUGCUCUAGUCAUUGGAAUGAGUACAAUCUAAAUACUUUAACGAGUAUCUAUUGGAGGGCAAGUCUGGUGCCAGCAGCCGCGGUAAUUCCAGCUCCAAUAGCGUAUAUUAAAGUUGUUGCGGUUGAAAAGCUCGUAGUUGGAUCUGAGCAGACAGCGGUCCUAAAUGAGUCGUGUUGGUUGGUAUACGGUGCUCUUCACUGAGUGUCUGUGCUGCCAGCUAUUUUACUUUGAAGAAAUUAGAGUGCUCAAAGCAGGCGCUUCUCGAAUAUUGGUGCAUGGAAUAAUGGAAUAGGGGGCUCUAUUUUGUUGGUUUUAGGAGCACAAGGCAAUGAUUAAGAGAAACAGACGGGGGCAUUUGUAUUGCGGCGUUAGAGGUGAAAUUCUUGGA
RNAcentral lists this ribosomal RNA (695 nucleotides) under Halalaimus gracilis. RNAcentral's name for it is "SSU rRNA". It matches the Rfam family "Eukaryotic small subunit ribosomal RNA", at positions 136 to 924 of the family's 1831-position model. The record is from RNAcentral. Lineage: Eukaryota; Metazoa; Nematoda; Enoplea; Enoplida; Oxystominidae.